This 1828-nucleotide small RNA is filed under the name Drosophila mojavensis. Its description in RNAcentral is "GI26280". Lineage: Eukaryota; Metazoa; Arthropoda; Insecta; Diptera; Drosophilidae. The record is from RNAcentral.
CCCACUCAGUCAUGAAUUCAGGACAUGUGGCAGCACCAAAUUAGUUGAUCGCGCGUAUUUCUAUUAAAGUUUUGUGUGAUUAUGUUUUGAGUUAAAAGUGGAAAUAAUUUAAGGCCACAAAACCUUGGCAAUAACUUUACGCUUCACUGGGUUAGCAGGCGACAGCAGAUGACAACAAGGAGCACCACCAGCAGCAGCUGGAGCAGCUGAAACAGGAACGGCAAUCAGCUAAAGCUCGGUCAAUUUAAUGGAAGUAGCCAUGUCCAGGCCACAUUUAUGACAAACUGGCUGCUUAGUAUGAAGCCAGAAAGCAAAGCAGUCAAGGAGUUGCCUGCAGUCAGCGCUAAUAUAUCACGACUCGCUUUCUUUACACAUAUGCCACAUAUAAAUACACUGAGAGAAAUGUGUGUCACUUGAGUGCAGUUUAGUAAGUAAAUUAUCAAUGAAUCAAGUAAUUUAGAGCUAUAAUUUGACACUUCCACUGACAAAACGGAUUUUGUACCCAGUUUUAAAAUGUUUCUUAUUGAUUAGCAAGCAAAAUUCUCUGAGUGCUUAGAUAUAUGUAUAUGUAGGUAUAUCUGAUGUCUGGUACUAGUUGGGGCAUGCAUGUUACUUGUCGAGCCGUAAAAUGUCAGUAGUAUGAGUACAAGUGCUGUAUUGGCCCUGGCAGUUGACGCUGCACAUUUUUUUACGACCCGCCCACAAUAUGAAGUCGUAAAGUUGAAAUUUUUCGCUUCCUACUGCCGUUGCUGGUUGUUGUCGUUGUUGCUGUUUGUUGCUGCAGUUCCUGAUGUUGGCAACGCUUUUCUAUAGUAUUUAAUAAGCAUUGGCAAAUAGAACCAUGUCUUCCUCUUUAUACUUAUUUUUGUUUUGCUCUGCUGUUAAGCUAAAGGAAUUUGGAGUAUUCGGUCCCGAGGGCAGGGUUAAAAUACUUGCCACAUUAUGAGCUGCCUGUCUCUCUCUGUCUCGCUCUCGCAAAAAGUCUAUUUUAUGGGUUUACAUAGCAAAGACAGGGCUUAAAAAUAUGACCGAAACUAGAAUGAGAAAUGUGUCAUAAAACCUGCCGUAAGCUGACUCAUUUGCCUAAAUGGGCGUAAAGUAUUAUAAAUAGUGUGAGCAAAAGCAACGAGCUGUGAGCAAUGGGCUUACGAAAGGUCAGCCACGAAUAAAGAGUUCAAUAAUGGGAGAAACUAAAGCUAGAAAAUAGAGAGAAGAAUAAUAUGUUUAAUAAACUUUUAUCAAAUGGCAAUGGCAUCAUUUUUGAUAAUGUUUCAAAUUCUAUGAACUCUUUUUACACAAAUUACCUUGAUAAGCUGCCUAUAGAUUUCUCAUAGCUAUGAACAAUAGAUGUUAACAUCUUUUCGUUUCUAAAUCGCUUUUGCAAUCUUGAUGUAUCCAUCUUAUACCGUCAAGCCGUCAACUGUUCAAGCAUAAACACUUUUAAGCUUUAUAGCGCACACAUUUACACGUCGCAUUGCCUAUUCGAAGUAAACCCCGUUCUCCCUACCCCCUUCGUCUACACAUCUACCUAUGUUCAUGGUAGACUCUGCUCCCGUCUGUUCAUCCCACCCGGAUGAACGUGUUUAGUGCCAGCAAACGAUGCUGCAAUAUUAUUGUAGCUACUACCUGGCAGCUUUCCCAUGGUAAUGCCAUUUGGGAGACCGAAGACUGGGAAGGUGGGAUUGGGAUUGAGCUAAGCUGAAGCUGAAGCUGGCAGCCUUUCAGUGACGGUGUUGGCAAUGUCGUAAAUUGUUCGCAUGCAUUUUUCGGUUUAAUGAUGCAUUUACGAUGCUAGCAGCAGCGGCUACAGCAGCAGCAACAAAAACAA